GAUGAAGAACGUAGCGAAAUGCGAUAAGUAGUGUGAAUUGCAGAAUUCAGUGAAUCAUCGAAUCUUUGAACGCACAUUGCGCCCUUUGGUAUUCCAAAGGGCAUGCCUGUUCGGGCGUCAUUUGUACCCUCAAGCUUUGCUUGGUGUUGGGCGUCUUGUCUCUAGCUUUGCUGGAGACUCGCCUUAAAGUAAUUGGCAGCCGGCCUACUGGUUUCGGAGCGCAGCACAAGUCGCACUCUCUAUCAGCAAAGGUCUAGCAUCCAUUAAGCCUUUUUUUCAACUUUUGACCUCGGAUCAGGUAGGGAUACCCGCUGAACUUAAGCAUAUCAAUAAGCGGAGGA
This 341-nucleotide unclassified non-coding RNA is filed under the name soil metagenome. RNAcentral describes it as "partial contains 5.8S ribosomal RNA, internal transcribed spacer 2, and large subunit ribosomal RNA". The stretch from base 1 to 120 matches the Rfam family "5.8S ribosomal RNA", at positions 35 to 154 of the family's 154-position model. The record is from RNAcentral.